GCCCUGUGGGACCAUCUCCAAACCCUGUGUGGUCACCUCCACUGGCAGGUAUUUUCCAGGAGCUCCACGUGGAUUCUCAGCACAGCUUGGAUGUGGAGACCACACAUCCCCCUUGGAGUGGCCACCUGCUCUGCCCUCAGACCAAAUCCAAUCACCAAAGCAGAGGUGAGAGCAGACCCUCCAAGAUCCAACAAGAAAUUCCAGAUCCUGUGCUGUCACUGCUGAGGCACACUCCCCAUCUGCUCCUGCACCCUUCCUGUGUAAAACCCAGGGAAAAUUCAGGGAGUUCUGAUGGACAACUCCAGCUCUGCAAAUGAGACAAAGCAACACACAAAAGGCUCUCCUUGGACCACAUGUCUGUCCCACAGAAAUAUGGCAGUGCUGAAUUCCCAGAUGUAAGUGUGCUGCCUCCAUCCUGUCCCUGCUGACAUCCAGCACUGGUUAUCCAAGCUUUCAUCUCUUCGUCUUUAAAACACUGCCAUCUGUUGUUUCCAGACGGUUCAGUCUUCUGUUUAUCCAAAACCUUGUUCCAGGCCAUAUGGAAAAAAUAUCUAUUUUCAAUUAACCAUCACAUUUUCUUAAAAUAUACUACAGCAAUAAGAAAAAAAUAGGCCUUGCUUACGCAGAGCUGCUCAGGAAGGGGGUGACAUUUUAUUACGCUCU
This 663-nucleotide long non-coding RNA is filed under the name Taeniopygia guttata (zebra finch). RNAcentral's name for it is "lncRNA (ENSTGUG00000028193.1)". The record is from RNAcentral. Lineage: Eukaryota; Metazoa; Chordata; Aves; Passeriformes; Estrildidae.